CACAACCUCUCCUUGGCUCUUCUCUUUAAUAAGAAUUAUACAUGUUACUUUCCUCGCUCUUUUCUCCCUUUUAUUACUUUUUAAGCUUCUCAUCAACACUGCCGGGGCAUAUUUGCUUCAGCCCUGACAAGGACUCGAGCAGUUAUAAUCCCGUCUUAAUUUGGCAACUUUUGUAAAACACAUAAAGGGCCCAGGGUCACCUUUGGUCGCCAGGGCCCCGGGUGACCCUGCAGCUUCCACCUCCCGCCUGGGCUUGGUGAGCCGCUCCUCUGGGUAUGCGUUCCUCUCCGGCAGUCAGGAUCAGAUGACUCAACUAACCGCCGGCGCACAGGCUGCCAGGCGGAACUGGGAGGGUCCGAGCCCUGGCCUCUCUCUGUUCCCGCUUCAGUGGCCCUCUCUACCCAGCUGGUGGCAGCGCUUGAGGGAAGGGAACGCAUUGAGGAGAGGGAGGAGCCUCCGGACUAAAAGGUCCUUUCAAGCACGGAUGGCGGUGCCCAGUGGUCAAUACCCUCACUUUUAUCCAGUGUCCGCUUCAUUUAAACUUAAUCAACUCCAUCAAUGAGCUGGAACAGGGAAACGUCCCUGCGGUCCUAUUUCCUUUCCCUUUUCACCUGCUGUUUGACCGCCCUCACUGCAGCACCUUGGGCUUCUAAUGUGAGGAAAAACACGGAAUGACAAGUGUGGGAAAGAGCAAGCACUAAAUUACUGUCAGAAAAAUAAACGGAGCAGCACAGUGGUGCUCGGUGAUUUACGGGGGCAAUUAGUCACCACCCCACGGCGCUGCUGAGGACAGCACGGCAGCAGGCGCGUCAGGCCGGAGGAAGAAGAGGCUUUGCACUGCUCUCCAGACAACUUUUCAAACAACAAGAGAGGGUGUUUGAGCACAUUAGGUUCUAUGUCUUCAUUCUGGGUGCCCACCCUUCAUGUUAUUCAAACAACUUAAUCUGUAAAUGUAUUUUUAGCACAAUAUUAACCUGUUCUGUGUGCGUUAAAAAGACUCCAACUGCAGCUUUUUCUUUCCCACUGUCCAAAGUAGGUUUUUCCCCCAUCCCUUAAAAAAUAAACAAAAAAACCUUUCCCCAUUCCCAGAUUGUCCCCCUGAUGUGUGCCUUUGGUCUGUCUCAUCACUUUUUGCAUCUUGCUGCCACGUUCUGUCUUUGCUCAGAGCCACUGAGCUGAGGAAUUUAGUCUGCAGCUCCUGGGGGAUGCUUGGUGAGCUGGUACAAGGGGGGUGAUCCACGAGGCUGUGAAACACAGGGUGAAUGAAGAAGAUGCAUGAACUUUCUGAUAUUUGCCAAUGUGUUCUUUAACAUACUAUAUGUAGUGCCUCUGUAUAUGUACAUAGCAAAAUAAACCUGCUAAAAUAUAAUGAAUCGGUGUGCAUUCUUUAAUCGGAAUUCUUCUCUAUCAGGAGAAAUCUAGAAUGGAAGAUGGAGAGAGAACCCAGGAAAGACAAAGACUUUACUGACUAAAUGCCACGUCUGUGUACGGACAGUAGCAGGGCUGCUGAGGUGAACAAAUCAAGCUUCGUCAGGAGUUUAGCAUCCUUAUGUACUGUUACCUAAGAAUGCUGCCAUCUUAUAUUUCUGAAGCACUUUACAGUUUACAAAGGACAUUUGGAAUUCCUUUGCUCAUUUGAUCUUGCUUUGGCUUUAGUCAAGAACACCUGCUCAGUUUUGAAAUGUGUUCGGUCAGCUGUCUCCAAUCCUGAGGUCGUCACUUGUCAAGAGGGGAUAAUCCCAAGGACAGCAGGAUCUGCUUCGUCACUUGGAUUUAGCAGUGAGAAACCCAUCAGGCCACUAAACAGUAACAAUGACCCACCAUUAAACACCCUGAGAGAAGAGCAUGAUGAGAAGAUUGUACAAGAAGAAUCCAGGAGCUUUUGCUGACAACGCCUAUGGAGACCCUGGCCACUGUGAGCUCCGCCCAUUGAACUGUAAUAAAAAAUCUCCGCCUCCCCAGAGAUGCUUGGAUGUGGGCACAAUAUUAAUUCAGACAAUGGUUUCUGCAUGGAUGUAGAGUGAAAAGAAUUUGGACUGUGGGGGUCAGACAGACCUGGCUUUGAAUUGUUAUUCUGUCACAUUUUUUGUUUUUGGGGAGGAAGAUUGUCACUGAGCUAACAUCUCUGCCAAUCUUCUUCUAUUUUUUCCGUAUGUGGGAUGCUGCCACAGCAUGGUUUGACAAGCAGUGUAUAGGUCCACACCCAGGAUCCAAACCUGCAAAACCUGGGCCGCAGAAGCUGAGCACGCGAACCCAACCACUACACCACCGGACCAGCCCCUCUGCCACUUCUUUGUAGUAUGCUUUGGUAACAUUUAAAAAUCCCUCUGAGCCUCAGUUAUCUUGUCUGCAAAAUGGAGCUAAUGCCUACACAGGGGCUUUUAAGAGGAUCAAGUGCACCAGUGUUUGAAAUGCACACACUGGGUACUUCUCUUUACGGAAAAAGAGCAAGAUGUGGGGCCAAAAAGGAACUAGUACAACAAAAGCUAUUCUCAAAAUUAUCCUUUGUCCUAGGCUCUUAACCUCAGAACGUGUGCUUAUUUCUGUAGCUCAGAUACCAAGGGAAAAGAGAGAGAGAGAGAGAGAGAGAAAGGCAGGAAGUCAAAUUCUGGCUCUCACACAAGAAAAUUCACUCUUGAUAAUUUUCAGACAGUGUUGCUCUCCUUCCUCAAACUCUGGCACCACAGGCAUUAUGCCAAAGAAGUCAGCAGCCUGGCAGAUAUUUCAAAUUGAUUCUGAGAGCAAACGACAGGCCAUUUGUGCCAUAUGCCACUGACACGUUAAUCUAGGCAAGGAUGCUAGGCACCUGGGGACAUCCAUGCUGAAAUGCCAUUUAGGCAGGGCACACCAACUCCAGUGGCAGGAGUUCAUCAGUGCAAACAGUGAGGGCGGCCAAGAAGAUGGAAGUGGAAAGGAGGAGUGAGAGGGAGGCACAGUGUCUAAGCCUGGAGAGAUUUUCUGAGUUGCAGACAGUUCAUUAUGCUUCUAGGAGAGCUGCAGAUUCAACAGAACAUCCAAACUGGGUAUUUACAGACUGGACAAAUGAGUGUCUGCUACUUUUGCACCUAUUAUACUACGUGGCCACCAACCCCGUGAACCUUCUCUCCAUUGGCAAAUACUGAGCGAUGCUCCAGUCCACUGGAAUGACCUUCUUUAUCCUGCAGUUUCACCGUAAAAAGCAAGCAGCUGCUGAGCGAUUCUAGGAGAUGCCCCAGUGUCAGACUUUCCAGGAUCCAAUUUGGUGGAAGCACUCUGGGCCUUUGGUCUCCAUCUCCCCUUUGCCCAGCCUUGUUCCUUGGUUACUGUGAGCAGUAACGAGCUUCCCCACCCCAGCGUGAGGACAGGCUCACAGCCAGCACAUGAAAAAGGCUGAGCUCGUGUGGGGCAACUACUUUAUUUCAUGGGCAGAUCACACAUCUCUUCUUUUCCUUCUUCUGUGAUGCAACUACACUAAUGAUUUUUUGUUUUUAAGUAGGAAUGAGGCAGUACUAUGGCUUUCUGGGGAAAAAAAGUCCACAGCAGGAUAACUGCAGCAGAUAUCAGAAAAGAAGCUCAGAACGAGAUGCCCGUCCGCUCUCGUCGUUGGCCCGAAUGAUUUUCCAGGAGCAAAA
RNAcentral lists this long non-coding RNA (3611 nucleotides) under Equus caballus (horse). RNAcentral describes it as "lncRNA (ENSECAG00000056718.1)". Lineage: Eukaryota; Metazoa; Chordata; Mammalia; Perissodactyla; Equidae. The record is from RNAcentral.